Molecule: Y RNA, 109 nt
Filed under: Microcebus murinus (gray mouse lemur)
Lineage: Eukaryota; Metazoa; Chordata; Mammalia; Primates; Cheirogaleidae
Description: Y RNA (ENSMICG00000021582.3)
Rfam family: Y RNA
About the family: Y RNAs are components of the Ro ribonucleoprotein particle (Ro RNP), in association with Ro60 and La proteins. The Y RNAs and Ro60 and La proteins are well conserved, but the function of the Ro RNP is not known.
Source: Rfam by way of RNAcentral
GGCUGGUCCGCAAGUAGCGAGUUAUCUCAACAGACUGUUCAGUUAGUUACAAAUUGAACUCCUUGUUCUAUUCUUUCUCAUUUUCACUACUGUAAUUGACUAGUCUUUA